RNAcentral lists this ribosomal RNA (253 nucleotides) under uncultured bacterium. RNAcentral's name for it is "partial 16S ribosomal RNA". It matches the Rfam family "Bacterial small subunit ribosomal RNA", at positions 524 to 776 of the family's 1533-position model. The record is from RNAcentral.
CACGUAGGGCGCAAGCGUUGUCCGGAAUCAUUGGGCGUAAAGAGCGUGUAGGCGGCCAGAUAAGUCCGCUGUGAAAUCUCGAGGCUCAACUUCGAGCUGUCGGUGGAAACUGUCUGGCUAGAGUCCGGAAGAGGAGAAUGGAAUUCCUGGUGUAGCGGUGAAAUGCGCAGAUAUCAGGAAGAACACCCGUGGCGAAGGCGGUUCUCUGGGACGGUACUGACGCUGAGACGCGAAAGCGUGGGGAGCAAACAGG